AGAGUUUGAUCAUGGCUCAGGAUAAACGCUGGCGGCGUGCCUAAUGCAUGCAAGUCGAACGGGCGCACUUGUGCGUGACCGUGGCGGACGGGUGAGGAGCACGUAGCUGACCUGCCCUGGUGUGGGGGAUAUCCUCCGGAAACGGAGUGUAAUACCGCAUGUGCUUGAUUGGAGGGAUCUGAUCAAGGAAAGCCGAGAGGCGUACCAGGAGGGGGCUGCGUCCGAUUAGCUCGUUGGUGGGGUAACGGCCUACCAAGGCGAUGAUCGGUAGCUGGUCUGAGAGGACGAUCAGCCACACGGGGACUGAGACACGGCCCCGACUCCUACGGGAGGCAGCAGCAAGGAAUUUUCCACAAUGGGCGCAAGCCUGAUGGAGCAACGCCGCGUGGGGGAUGACGCACUUCGGUGUGUAAACCCCUUUUCGAGGGGACGAAGGCAAUGACGGUACCCUCGGAAGAAGGAUCGGCUAACUACGUGCCAGCAGCCGCGGUAAGACGUAGGAUCCGAGCGUUGUCCGGAGUUACUGGGCGUAAAGCGCGCGCAGGCGGACACGCGCAUCGGCGGUGAAAGCCCCCCGCUCAACGGGGGAGGGUCCGUCGAGAUGGCGUGUCUGGAGGCAGGGAGAGGCCAGUGGAAUUCCGGGUGUAG
RNAcentral lists this ribosomal RNA (648 nucleotides) under uncultured bacterium. RNAcentral describes it as "bacterial SSU rRNA". It matches the Rfam family "Bacterial small subunit ribosomal RNA", at positions 8 to 678 of the family's 1533-position model. The record is from RNAcentral.